GGUUUUCCAGUACUUUGUCGGAUAUGUUACAGGCAGCAGAGGGAAGGGUGUCAGAGCUCAGCUGAGGUUGCCUGUGAUUACAGAUCAGUCUACGUCCGCUACAAGCAAGAAAUCUAUCAUCAGUACUUCCAUCGAAUUACGUAAUGCAAGACUAGGGGGCACCAUCAUGAAACCAAAACACCUUGAAACCCCUUUGGUUUCUGAUUGUUACUCAAAGGAGAACAGGGAGUCCGAGUGAGCUGUGCCAGUUAACCAGCUGGCACAAAUCCUUGAAGUGGAACCAGCACAGCUAAAUGCUGUGACACUGCUGCAGCCAUCUAAGGUCGAUCCCCACGUGCCACAAGUGUCAUUUUACUGGCAUUAGGUUUCCUGUGGUAAACUCUAAUGGCGGCAGCAGCGCGGGGUGUGGU
Sebastes umbrosus (honeycomb rockfish) is the source of this 410-nucleotide long non-coding RNA. RefSeq lists it as uncharacterized. NCBI's taxonomy places the organism in Eukaryota, Metazoa, Chordata, Actinopteri, Perciformes, Sebastidae. The record is from RefSeq and is a predicted model, not a curated record. The transcript has 4 exons.